RNAcentral lists this unclassified non-coding RNA (996 nucleotides) under Hevea brasiliensis (rubber tree). The record is from RNAcentral. Lineage: Eukaryota; Viridiplantae; Streptophyta; Magnoliopsida; Malpighiales; Euphorbiaceae.
GUGAACCUAGUCCUCCAGACAGAAAGAAAUCAUACCAAGCGGCAAAAAGCUCAUGGUUGAUGUUGGUAGCCCAUGAGGAGGGCUCCCGGUAUAUACCUCAGCGAGGGGAUGAAAUUGUAUAUUUAAGACAGGGCCAUGAAGAGUACAUAAGUCAGAAUAGUUUGAGGGAUUUAGGCCCCUGGAAAACAAUAAAGGGAAAAAUAAGAGCAGUAGAAUUUUGUUUGAUUGAAAACCUCGAGUUCAAAACACGGCCAGGUUCUGGAGAAAGCUGUGCUAAAAUGACAGUGAAAUUUGUAGAUCCUGCUUCUGAUGUGGUGGGGAAAUCAUUUCAGUUGACACUGCCUGAAGUGACUGGUUUCCCUGAUUUCCUUGUUGAAAGAACCAGAUAUGAUGCUGCUAUAGAAAGGAACUGGACUUCUCGGGACAAAUGCCAAGUUUGGUGGAAGAAUGAAGGUGAGGAAGAUGGGAGUUGGUGGGAAGGUAGGAUUCUAAAUGUGCAAGCUAAAUCUCAUGAAUUUCCUGACAGCCCCUGGGAAAGGUAUGUUGUCCGAUAUAAGAGUGAUCCAUCGGAAACUCAUCAGCAUAGUCCUUGGGAACUAUAUGAUGCUGACACACAAUGGGAACAACCUCGUAUAGAUGAUGAAACCAGAGAGAAGCUGAUGAGUGCGUUUAAUAAGCUGGAGCAAUCCGGGAAUAAAGCUCAGGACUACUAUGGGGUUGAAAAAUUGAGACAGGUUUCACACAAGUCAAACUUCAUUAACAGGUUUCCUGUUCCCUUGUCACUUGAAACUAUUCGGGCUAGGCUAGAGAACAAUUACUAUAGGAGUCUGGAGGGAAUGAAACAUGACAUUGAGGUGAUGCUCUCAAAUGCAGAGUCAUAUUGUGGAAGAAAUGUCGAGUUAACAACGAGAGUGAGACGUUUGUCUGAGUGGUUCAGACGGACAAUCUCAUUUUUGUAGCAACUUCUGAUGCAAUUUUGUAGAAAUUACUGCCCAU